RNAcentral lists this ribosomal RNA (998 nucleotides) under uncultured bacterium. RNAcentral's name for it is "bacterial SSU rRNA". It matches the Rfam family "Bacterial small subunit ribosomal RNA", at positions 505 to 1501 of the family's 1533-position model. The record is from RNAcentral.
GUGCCAGCCGCCGCGGUAAUACGGGGGGAACGAGCGUUGUUCGGAUUUACUGGGCGUAAAGGGCGUGUAGGCGGAUUUUCAAGUCGGAUGUGAAAACCCCAAGCUUAACUCGGGGCCUGCAUCCGAUACUGCAAAUCUUGAGUACGGGAGAGGAAAGCGGAAUUCCAGGUGUAGCGGUGACAUGCGUAGAUAUCUGGAAGAACACCGGUGGCGAAGGCGGCUUUCUGGACCGAUACUGACGCUGAGGCGCGAAAGCCAGGGGAGCAAACAGGAUUAGAUACCCUGGUAGUCCUGGCUGUAAACGAUGGGCACUAGGUGUUGAGGGUAUCGACCCCCUCAGUGCCGCAGCUAACGCAUUAAGUGCCCCGCCUGGGGAGUACGAUCGCAAGGUUGAAACUCAAAAGAAUUGACGGGGGCCCGCACAAGCGGUGGAGUAUGUGGUUCAAUUCGAGGCAACGCGAAGAACCUUACCUGGGUUUGACAUACACCGGACCGCGGCUGAAAGGCCGCUUCCCCUUCGGGGGCCGGUGAACAGGUGCUGCAUGGCUGUCGUCAGCUCGUGCCGUGAGGUGUUGGGUUAAGUCCCGCAACGAGCGCAACCCUCGUCCUUAGUUGCCAUCAGGUAAUGCUGGGAACUCUAAGGAGACUGCCGGUGAUAAGCUGGAGGAAGGUGGGGAUGACGUCAAGUCCUCAUGGCCCUUACAUCCAGGGCUACACACGUACUACAAUGGCCGGUACAGAAGGUAGCAAGACCGCAAGGUGGAGCUAAUCCCUAAAACCGGUCUCAGUUCAGAUUGGAGUCUGCAACUCGACUCCAUGAAGUUGGAAUCGCUAGUAAUCGCGAAUCAGCAGGUCGCGGUGAAUACGUUCCCGGGCCUUGUACACACCGCCCGUCAAGCCACGGAAGUUGGGAGCACCCGAAGUCGUCGCGCCAACCGCAAGGAGGUAGACGCCUAAGGUAUGGAUGGUGAUUGGGAUGAAGUCGUAACAAGGUAACC